CUUUUGUUCUCUUCACAGGUAGUGGGGGAAGCUGGUGUCAAUCUCCCCUGAUUGAGCCUCUUCAGCCAAGGCCCAAUCAGCAUCCAGGGAGGCCUUAUAUAAGCAGCCCAGCCGGGGAGCUGAGGAGAUCUCUCCAACGGCCUCUGUUAUCUGAUGCAUGUCUUCCUGCUCUUUGUGUGAAGGUUUGUGGUGGGAGUUAGAGGGCGAGUUCUCCCAACACCCCGGCGCCCCCUGAGAGCAGCGAAUCCGAAUGAAGUUGGCUGCUAUUUGUCCCUCUCACAACCUCUCGUCCAUCAAUGUCGCCAUGUGCCUCCAGCUGGAACAGAAGAAAACACCAGCUUCAUUAUGAACAGAUUACCCAGAGCAGGAAGAGUCUCACACCUCUGCUUAUCAGAGCAACCAGCGCAUCAAAGCAACAGGGAUAGGCAGAAAAGACGUGGAAGACACAGUGCUCAGAGAGUGCAUGCUGAUAACAUCCACUGCAAAUGGCUUCAAACGUCAGUGCUGCUGGUCUCACUGUUAAAGAGCGUUUUUAUUCGUCGGCCUCUGAUGUAGUCGACUUUUUAUAAGAGUUUAAAGCAGAACCAUUUUUGACCUUGCAGAAACGGAGACAUUAUUGAGUGUCCAGUUUAUUUAGACUUCUCCAAACUGACAAUUUCUGAGUAGAGCAGAUUCAAUAUUUGCUGGUUACUCCAUAACCAGCAAAAUGUAUGGCAAGAUAUAUUUAAAAAAUAGUUUCUUUCCAUUUUACUUCCUAAGUGCAACUACUCAUGCAUUUAUUGAUGUGUCAACAAAUUUGCAAGUUAGUAGACAGAUGGAUAAUUUCCAGGUUUAGUCAGUCCCACUCCUUAAAAAUCAGAUAAAAAGGGACUGAAAGUGCUGUAUUAACUCCCAAGAGAGAAAAGUGCAUUUGCUGAUUUAAUUUUUUUUUUUUCAUUUCACCCUUUUUACAAGCAUAAAGCCAUAUGUGCAUCUAGUCGCGUCUGGCACAGUGUCUUUUAUGUGUGUUAGAUAACAGAUUUGGACUGCAUGUUAUCACGAAUUGCACAAAAGCUGGUGAAAAUCCAUUAUCACCGGACAAACCUUUUAUCCGGUUUCAGCAACUUUCAGCGAAAUUCCAGUAAUGACGUUCCAAUUUUAACAUCUGUGAACAUCUGGACCUUUGAGUGGUUUAUCUCUUACAAAAGAUUCACUGGUGGUUUUGCACAGAGGUCAUUGUUAUGUCAAAGAUUAUGUAACUGCACACUGAACAAUUAAACUGAACACAUAAUUAUCUGUAGACAUAUCAACACAAAUGUGAACAGGAGGUCUGAGCAACAAAAAAGCAAUCAGUUUGUAACAAGGAAAGGCAGAUGGCCAUUUUUACUCUAAACAAAAGGAAUAAUCCCUUAAUGCAAUGAACCCUCCUCCUAAAAAAGGACAAUUCUGUGCUUACUUUAGCUGUGUGCAGUCAUUAGGGAUGCUCUUCAUCAAGUCAAUUUUAUAAUUUAUCUUUGACAGAAUAAUUCAAUGGUCUCUCAUUGUUAAACACAUUUUGCAUAAACAUGAUUUUAUAGAUACACUGGGUUUUCCAUAACAAUUUUUUUCUUUCUUAAGCCCUUUACAGUAAAGUGUUGAGACUAUAUUGGGUUCUGCACACUUUGCACAGAAAACAUUAUGAUAUCUUUCUCAAGCCAAGUUAGACUUAAGCUAGGCUGUCCUAGGAACUCAGGUUGGGACAAAAUAUGUAUCCCUGUUAAGUAAAACUAAAACUGUGGGGUUGUGACACAAUACUACUGCAGACGACUGUAGCGAUGGUGAACAUUUGUGUGUUGUUUUGCGGUACUUUAAAAAUUCUGAGUUAACAGAUUUACAUCAGAACUCUACAUAUAUUUUCAGUCUAUAGUGAUUGAACUCAAGCUGGCUGGUAGGGAAGCAUCUUUUGAUGAUGCCUCACUUUUCAUUUGCAUACCUGCACUAGAUGUAGUAGAGAACCGGUCAGCAAAUACUUCCAAGAAAUUACAAACAUGGACCAAAGUCUCCUCAAAUCAGAACAAUCUAUAUUUAUUUCCAUCUUGUUGCCAUUUGCUUCUGGAGGAUGUUGGGGAGGUUUUGGUAUUUGUUUAGUCAUGUGAUAGUAAUGCAAUGCAGGGCUGUGGGAAAAUCAAAUGAAGCAGGGUGGUGGUGGUUGUUGUUUUUCAAGGUGUCAAAAGGGUAGUGAAAGAUGGAAAAACAUUAGCAAUGCUGGCAAAUAUUAAAUAUUUCCCAUUAUUGAGCAGCAAUACCGAUAUUGAUAUUGGCCCAAAUUUUCAUAUUUGGUAAUGAUCCAAAUCCUCCUCAGGUGAAGUAGAAGGUAUUAUUAUUAUAUUAUCCACUUUGUAAGAACACAUAGUUAAUCCUUGAAGAGUGGGUGGGGUUAAGGCCAUUGUGGCUGAUGGGGCAGUUUCACAAUGCACAUCUACAUCAGAUUUCUCUUCUCUUGCUUAGAUUUAAAUCAUUUUGGUUUACUUAUGCUUGAAAAAAAGUCCAAGAAACAGCAUGGGGUGUUAUGUAACAGCCUCACAUGUUGAAAAAUAAAAACGCUGCUUCUGUGA
Molecule: long non-coding RNA, 2573 nt
Organism: Poecilia latipinna (sailfin molly)
Lineage: Eukaryota; Metazoa; Chordata; Actinopteri; Cyprinodontiformes; Poeciliidae
Exons: 2
Source: RefSeq, a predicted model, not a curated record